CUGUUGUUGUUACUGUCAAGUUUCUUGUUGGGGUUGGUGUUUUUCUUGGAAGAUUUGGGAGGGUGAAGAAGGUCAUCUUCAGCCUUGCCCUUGAACCCCUUAGGAUUGAUAUUGAGGUUAAUGCUGGUGUUAAGAUUGGCAAAAGCAGGUUUGGAGUAAAUUCCCUUGUUGAAGCCUCCAUUGAUACCCACCCCAGCAUCCAAACCAGCACCAAAAAUGUUGUUGCUGUUGUUGUAAGUCAUGGGAAGAAGAGAUCCAUUCAUGUUAUCGUUGUAAUCAAAAGCAGGGUCCUUUGACUUGAAAGAGUUGAUCUCACCACCCACUUUGAUGUCAAAAUUGAUCCUUUCAUCACGCCUCUUGGACACGUAAUUGCUGCUCCAAAUGGAAUCGUUCAGAGAGAGGUUUGCCAAAUUGGGUGUCUGCAACCGCAGCUGG
RNAcentral lists this long non-coding RNA (435 nucleotides) under Phaseolus vulgaris (common bean). RNAcentral's name for it is "long non-coding RNA (PVUL_LNC004740)". Lineage: Eukaryota; Viridiplantae; Streptophyta; Magnoliopsida; Fabales; Fabaceae. The record is from RNAcentral.